GACGAACGCUGGAGGCGUGCUUAACACAUGCAAGUCGAACGAUGAAAUGGAGCUUGCUCCAUGGAUUAGUGGCGAACGGGUGAGUAACACGUGAAUAACCUGCCCUUAAUUUUGGAAUAACCCAGGGAAACCUGGGCUAAUACAGGAUAAGUAAACCUGUGGCAUCACAUGGUUUUGGAAAGUUUUUCGAUUAAGGAUGGAUUCGCGGCCUAUCAGCUUGUUGGUGAGGUAAUGGCUCACCAAGGCGACGACGAGUAGCCGGCCGGAGAGGGUGAACGGCCACACUGGGACUGAGACACGGCCCAGACUCCUACGGGAGGCAGCAGUGGGGAAUAUUGCGCAAUGGACGAAAGUCUGACGCAGCGACGCCUCGUGAGGGACGAAGGUCUUCGGAUUGUAAACCUCUUUCAGCAGGGACGAAGCGAAAGUGACGGUACCUGCAGAAGAAGCACCGGCUAACUAUGUGCCAGCAGCCGCCGUAA
Molecule: ribosomal RNA, 482 nt
Filed under: uncultured bacterium
Lineage: Bacteria
Description: partial 16S ribosomal RNA
Rfam family: Bacterial small subunit ribosomal RNA
Source: RNAcentral